Small nuclear RNA from Perognathus longimembris pacificus (Pacific pocket mouse), 105 nucleotides. NCBI's taxonomy places the organism in Eukaryota, Metazoa, Chordata, Mammalia, Rodentia, Heteromyidae. The record is from RefSeq and is a predicted model, not a curated record.
UGCUCACUUCGGCAGCCAUAUACUAAAGUUGGAACAAUACAGAGAAGAUUAGCAUUGCCCCUGCGCAAGGAUGACACAGAAAUUCGUGAAGCAUUCCAUAUUUUC